RNAcentral lists this ribosomal RNA (464 nucleotides) under Vreelandella stevensii. RNAcentral's name for it is "partial 16S ribosomal RNA". It matches the Rfam family "Bacterial small subunit ribosomal RNA", at positions 338 to 795 of the family's 1533-position model. The record is from RNAcentral. Lineage: Bacteria; Pseudomonadati; Pseudomonadota; Gammaproteobacteria; Oceanospirillales; Halomonadaceae.
CCUACGGGGUGCAGCAGUGGGGAAUAUUGGACAAUGGGCGAAAGCCUGAUCCAGCCAUGCCGCGUGUGUGAAGAAGGCCUUCGGGUUGUAAAGCACUUUCAGUGGGGAAGAAAGCCUUGGGGCUAAUACCCUCGAGGAAGGACAUCACCCACAGAAGAAGCACCGGCUAACUCCGUGCCAGCAGCCGCGGUAAUACGGAGGGUGCGAGCGUUAAUCGGAAUUACUGGGCGUAAAGCGCGCGUAGGCGGUCUGAUAAGCCGGUUGUGAAAGCCCCGGGCUCAACCUGGGAACGGCAUCCGGAACUGUCAGGCUAGAGUGCAGGAGAGGAAGGUAGAAUUCCCGGUGUAGCGGUGAAAUGCGUAGAGAUCGGGAGGAAUACCAGUGGCGAAGGCGGCCUUCUGGACUGACACUGACGCUGAGGUGCGAAAGCGUGGGUAGCAAACAGGAUUAGAUACCCUGGAGUC